This 565-nucleotide ribosomal RNA is filed under the name uncultured bacterium. RNAcentral's name for it is "partial 16S ribosomal RNA". It matches the Rfam family "Bacterial small subunit ribosomal RNA", at positions 355 to 937 of the family's 1533-position model. The record is from RNAcentral.
UGGGGAAUCUUGGACAAUGGGGGCAACCCUGAUCCAGCCAUGCCGCGUGGGUGAUGAAGGCCUUAGGGUCGUAAAGCCCUUUCGCCGGGGAAGAUAAUGACGGUACCCGGUAAAGAAGCCCCGGCUAACUCCGUGCCAGCAGCCGCGGUAAUACGGAGGGGGCUAGCGUUGUUCGGAAUGACUGGGCGUAAAGCGCGCGUAGGCGGAUCGGAAAGUUGGGGGUGAAAUCCCGGGGGCUCAACCUCGGAAUGGCCUUCAAAACUCCCGGUCUUGAGUUCGAGAGAGGUGAGUGGAAUUCCGAGUGUAGAGGUGAAAUUCGUAGAUAUUCGGAGGAACACCAGUGGCGAAGGCGGCUCACUGGCUCGACACUGACGCUGAGGUGCGAAAGCGUGGGGGAGCAAACAGGAUUAGAUACCCUGGUAGUCCACGCCGUAAAACGAUGAAUGCCAGACGUCGGGGGGCUUGCCCUUCGGUGUCACACCUAACGGAUUAAGGCAUUCCCGCCUGGGGGAGUACGGUCGCAAGAUUAAAACUCAAAUGAAUUGACGGGGUCAUAGCUGUUUCC